GAAGACCGUAGCUAGGAAAAAACCUACCACCAAGUAUAGGUCGUGCCUCAGGACAUUUCUAGAGAUGACCGAUAUACCGACCGGAGGUGUUCGGACUGUACAUAUGGAGGUAGGGAUUUUCGGCUUUGAUUACGACCAAAUGAUUGGUAAUGAAGACUUCAUGCAAGUUUUUAGUCAUGAAGAAAUCGGCGUCACCGUUGUCAAUACAUAUAUUAGGUAAAUCCGGUCUACUUUGUUUUAUUAAUUAAACAACUUAUGUUAAUGAUGUUUACUUUAUGUUAAUCCGGUUUACUUUAUGUUUCAAAAGAGGUGUUAAUGAUGUUUUUAUAUUAGGUUUUUGUAUGACAAAUUGAUGCGCCCCAAUGGUUUGGACGUGUCAUUCGGAUUCUUAGCACCCGCGACCGUCAACUUAGGUUUAAUCUUAAGUAGACCGGAUACCGUGACGGAGUACGUUCUUCGGAUCCUCAUGGACAAUAAAGAUGCGGAGAAGUUGUUUUUUAUACCGUUUAAUACCGGGUUAGCAUUUCAUUCUAAAUUCAUCUAUUAUAAUUAUUUUCCAAGUUACCAUCUAACAUUUGCCUAAUCAUUACAGUGGACAUUGG
Molecule: long non-coding RNA, 602 nt
Filed under: Lathyrus oleraceus (garden pea)
Lineage: Eukaryota; Viridiplantae; Streptophyta; Magnoliopsida; Fabales; Fabaceae
Description: Pisum sativum (pea) long non-coding RNA (PSAT_LNC038827)
Source: RNAcentral